GUGCCAGCCGCCGCGGUAAUACGGAGGGUGCAAGCGUUGUCCGGAAUCACUGGGCGUAAAGGGUGCGCAGGCGGGGCAGUAAGUCGGAGGUGAAAGCCCGUGGCUCAACCACGGAAGUGCCUUCGAAGCUGUUGCGCUUGAGUCUCGGAGAGGUUGGCGGAAUUCGUGGUGUAGCGGUGAAAUGCGUAGAUAUAACGAGGAACACCAGAGGCGAAAGCGGGCAACUGGACGGGUACUGACGCUCAGGCACGAAAGCGCGGGGAGCAAACAGGAUUAGAAACCCCAGUAGUCC
RNAcentral lists this ribosomal RNA (292 nucleotides) under uncultured bacterium. RNAcentral describes it as "partial 16S ribosomal RNA". It matches the Rfam family "Bacterial small subunit ribosomal RNA", at positions 505 to 796 of the family's 1533-position model. The record is from RNAcentral.